Molecule: ribosomal RNA, 253 nt
Filed under: uncultured bacterium
Lineage: Bacteria
Description: partial 16S ribosomal RNA
Rfam family: Bacterial small subunit ribosomal RNA
Source: RNAcentral
UACGUAGGGGGCAAGCGUUGUCCGGAUUUAUUGGGCGUAAAGCGCUCGCAGGUGGUUCGAUGCGUCGUGCGUGAAAGACCCCGGCUCAACUGGGGAGGGUCGUGCGAUACGGUCGAACUGGAGGCCAGAAGGGGGAUGCGGAAUUCCGGGUGUAGUGGUGGAAUGCGUAGAGAUCCGGAGGAACACCAGCGGCGAAGGCGGCAUCCUGGACUGGUCCUGACACUCAUGAGCGAAAGCGUGGGGAGCGAUCCGG